GACGAACGCUGGCGGCGUGCCUAAUACAUGCAAGUCGAGCGCUCAAGGGGGGGCUUGCCUCCUCGGAUGAGUUGCGCACGGGUGAGUAACACGUAGGUAACCUGCCUCGUAGAGGGUGAGAACACUUGGAGACGAUAGCUCAUACCGCAUAAGAGAUGUUGUUGCAUAACAUUUACUUAAAAAAUGCAGUUGUAUUACUACUAAUUGGACCUGCGUCGUAUUAGUUAGUUGUUGGUGUAAUGGCUGACCAAGGGGACGAUAGAUAGUCGACCUGAGAGGGGGAUCGGCCACAAUGGGACCGAGAAACGGCCCAGACUCCUACGGGAGGCAGCAGUAGGGAAACUUCGGGAAUGGACGGAAGUCUGACCGAGCAACGGCGGGUGAGGGAAGAAGGGUUUCGGAUCGUAAAGAUUGGUUGUAAGGGAAGAACGAGUGGGAGAGUUGAAAGUGCACACUGUGACGGUAUCUAACCAGAAAGGGACGGCUAACUACGUG
This 495-nucleotide ribosomal RNA is filed under the name uncultured bacterium. RNAcentral describes it as "partial 16S ribosomal RNA". It matches the Rfam family "Bacterial small subunit ribosomal RNA", at positions 28 to 507 of the family's 1533-position model. The record is from RNAcentral.